RNAcentral lists this long non-coding RNA (2965 nucleotides) under Gallus gallus (chicken). Its description in RNAcentral is "lncRNA (ENSGALG00010030016.1)". Lineage: Eukaryota; Metazoa; Chordata; Aves; Galliformes; Phasianidae. The record is from RNAcentral.
CGCACAGCUGGGUGUUUUAUUUCCAAUUAACCAGAACUAACAAGCAGAUAGAAUUGGUCUCAUAGUGACACCAGAACAGAUCCAGGGAGUGUGUGAGAUACUGCCAUAAAGAGACCAGCCACCCGACAGCACACUGCUAAGACAGGACAAAGAACUGCUGAUUAUAUUACAUUUCAUUUGCUAAGUAAUUCCGAACAUGGCCUAGUGCUUCUAAAAAAACCUGUAUAAAAUGAGUAUUUUUUUACAUCUCAGGCACAUGAAUACAAAUCUGAGCUAUUUUAUAUAUACAGACAUUUACAUUACAUGAAAAUCUGAGUGGAGAUCAAAUGAAAAAUAAAAGCUUUUAUAAAAAGUACCCCAAACAGCAGAGAUGAAAUGUGACAAUACAAUGCAUUCUCACAACAGAGGAGUAAAAGGCACAAAUACUAAAAUGUAUAACCAUGCAAAAGAUGUACGUCCGACCUGUGCAACAAAGCAAAACAAACGGCUCCCACAAGUGGUUUUACAGUAAUUCUCAGCAUAUCACAGUAUUGAAACAUACUGUAAGUGCAACAUUUACUGCCCCGCAGCACAGUGAAGUGUUCACACCAUACCAAAUUCUCCCUUCCCAUUUCCUUUCUCCAAAGCCAGGAUAAUUUAGCUAAGGAUAAAGUAUUAAAUCAAAUGGAGCUGACGUUGGCUGGUGUAACACAAUCAAUGCUCCAGCUGUCUGGGUGGAAGAGUAAGUGCAGCCCUUCUGCAUCCACUACUUACUGCAUAUUGAACGCGUGUCUACCAGAGCAACCCCUUCCCUGCCCUUGGCCAGGGCACAGUGGGCUUUGCAGAGGUUUGCCAGGGUGAAUUUCACUCUGCUGAGAGCGGUGAUGUGAAAGCUGACAGCUCAGAUGUCACAGUUGCACCACUAACAACACCUACAUAAGUAACACACACAGAUUCUAGGGCUAGGUAGCCAAAAUAUACCAAGGAAGUCCAUGUUUAUUAAUGCUUUCUUCACUAGGCUAAAGUUUAAGUUAAAAAUACUCUCUCCCUAAUUAUAUGUUUCAAUGUGUACUGCUCUCACAGUUGAAAUAAAUUCAAGACCAAAGCCAAUAAACCAAAGGAAAAAAAGAAAAAGAAAAGUGCAUAAGGAAGGCAAUGUAGCACUGCCUGCUGGCUCUGCACUGUCACAAACUGCCUGCAGUCACCCAACCUGCUGAUGUUUCAGUCUGAAUGGGCAGCUGCCAUUAUCUGUAAGUUAUGCUUGCUAGGCUAAGCCAGUAGGUUCGUGCCUUGCAAACAGUGUACAAUUACAGCACGCCAUUGGAUAGCUACACAGGAUCGAGGUAAAGCUUACAGGGAUGCCCCAGUGCUGCGGACUUUAGUCUCACUCACAGUGGGACUGAGGUGGUCCUUCCCUCUGAGCCUCAGCAUAAACCUCAACUUUGUCCUUCAGUGUUCAACCUGCAACUGCUGUAUUUUGAUACAGAAGACUGAAUGACCACAAACGAGAUCUCAGGUGGAAAAAAAAAGCACAUGAAACAUUUAUCAGUGCUAAGGGCGGCCAUGAGAGGCUUCUCUGUGGGUGCCAUCAGUUCUUCCUUCUUCAUUUCUUUUUAUUUUUUCCCCCGAGCAUAACAGAACUCUUCUCUCUUUCCUUUCUUUAGUGGUUAUAGAAAACAAAGGGUGAGAGGCAGUAGGUGAGAAUUUUCUCUAAAUCUUUUUAAAAGGACAACAAGCUACUCACAGUGGGGAUUUCACACCUCUUCUAGUCACUAUAUAAUAAAAAACCCUAAUAAAUAUAAUCCACAGCUCAAGUUCCGCAUUAUUGUGUGCUAGACACACAAGCCUUUGGUUAAAUUACUGAAAGAUUUUGUUUGUAGUGCUCAGCUGAACCAACACUGUCUCCUAAAACAGAGAAUAACCACAGAAGCCCCAGCGAAGCCUCCCUCUGUGCAGAACAGAACCCUUGCAAGGAUUAUAGGAUUCCAACCAACAUAUGUGCAAAGCUUCCAUAAAUGAGAAGAAACUCACACAUGCUACACGCUUCAACACCAAGCUGCCCUGGGAUCAAUAUUUUGGAUUGAGAAAUACUGAGAAAACAAUCCCAAGGUGCUGCCAUGGAACAACGUGCCAGCAGCUGCUGAACGCUUCCUUUCCUUUGAAAUCAGCUGCUGGCUAUACAAGCAGUCAUGCUUUCUUGAGUAUGCUCCUUAAGUAACAAACGACCUAACAAGAGCACGAAUACUACUGCUUAUGCCAGAACCAAUGCAGUUACUGCUUAGUUAAAGUUUGAGUCGGUUUUCACUGAACUCAACGUAAACCACUGAGUGUCAGAUCAGCUGUUGCUUCCUUCCUUGGAAAACAUCCAUGCAGUAUUUGUUUUAAGAAAAAAACACUGUAUACUCACUGCCACUAAAGAAGAAAAGAAGUAUUUACUUGUAAGUUCUAGUUCAAAGACUCAUUGCAUGCCAUUAGCACUAUGACCCAGAGACUGCUGAACAGCGACUGAUGCAGGCCACGAUCAAGGUUCACACACACCUUCCAAACACUCAAUUACUAAACAGAUUAGGCAGUCUAGGUACAGUAGGCCAAGAUCCCUUCUGGAGAGUAGAACAGAGCCUUGCUGCACUCAGACAGCAAGGUGUUUGCUGAUACACCCGUUAAUUAAUGACACUGCACUCAAACGCCUACAGAGCUGGCUGACAACCAUCUGAAUUUCUCCCAAGACCAUAAAAGUAAAGUUUUGGCAGUAAAAGCGUAUGGAUGUUUUUGAGACUUGCUAGAAAUCUAUGUGUUGAUGACUCCUUUGGAAAUAGAUUGGAUGGUUACAGUUUGUCACUGUCACACUUCAAAACACAGCAAACAACUUGAGUCUUUAUUACAAGUUACUAAAAGAGCUGAAAAAUGCUCCGCUGUCAGUACAGUUUUGGAUCAGCACCACGCUCUGAAACCAGUAGCUGAAGGCUGGCAUUUGGAGUGAAGCAGC